This 392-nucleotide ribosomal RNA is filed under the name uncultured bacterium. Its description in RNAcentral is "partial 16S ribosomal RNA". It matches the Rfam family "Bacterial small subunit ribosomal RNA", at positions 523 to 918 of the family's 1533-position model. The record is from RNAcentral.
AUACGUAGGGGACGAGCGUUGUCCGGAAUUACUGGGCGUAAAGGGCGCGCAGGCGGCCGUCCAAGUCCGGUGUUAAAUGGUCGGGCUCAACCCGAUCAUGCGCUGGCAACUGGGCGGCUGGAGUCCCGGAGGGGAUGCCGGAAUUCCAGGUGUAGGGGUGAAAUCUGUAGAUAUCUGGAAGAACACCGAUGGCGAAGGCAGGCAUCUGGCCGGAGACUGACGCUGAGGCGCGAAGGCGCGGGGAGCGAACAGGUUUAGAUACCCUGGUAGUCCGCGCAGUAAACGAUGCGCACCAGGUGUCGGGCGGCAGCGCCCGGUACCGGAGCAAACGCGAUGAGUGCGCCGCCUGGGGAGUAUGCCCGCAAGGGUGAAACUUAAAGGAAUGGACGGGG